Apis mellifera (honey bee) is the source of this 997-nucleotide long non-coding RNA. RefSeq lists it as uncharacterized. The record is from RefSeq and is a predicted model, not a curated record. Lineage: Eukaryota; Metazoa; Arthropoda; Insecta; Hymenoptera; Apidae. The transcript is spliced from 2 exons.
AUCAGCCUCUCAUCAAAACCGUUCAGACGCAGCACGCGUCUCGUAUAUAAUAAAUAUCCAAUCAAUCAAUGACACAACUUUCAAAUAUUUUUUUUUUUUUUUUAUCGAAAAGAUAGUUUGAGAAAGAAUUAAUUCGAAGAACGUUUAACAUUGUUUCACCGUUGACAGGUAAUUUUCGUAAAUUUCGACGAACCUUAACAGACAAAUCUUUUGAACAAAGAUCUUUUUUUUACAGAUAUGAAUAAAAUUAUUAUUUCAGCGAUGAAACUUCUAAUAUAUUAAUCUUAGUUAUACGAUAAAAAUUAUAAAUAUAUGUAAUUAACGAGUUUCGAACUUGAAAUUUAUCGCACGUGAGAGGUUAAGUUUCCAUCGAUUCAGGAUUUGUACGUUAAAUCGUCCAUAAUAUAUUUUAGAUAUUCGUAUAAUGUUAUUUACGAGAUGGAAUACAAAAAAAAAUGAAUUUGAAAUUUCAAUUCAAUUAUUCUUCUGAAAAAUAUAUGUAUAAUUAGUACGUGAAACAUACGUAAAUCAUAAAUAUGACUAAUUUAACCUCUAACCAAAUUAAAGUAUCAAGAUUAACUUGGAUCCGGAGCUUCGAAAUCUGGACCACGAUUGUGAAAAUUGGCGCGACAUUUAACAUGUGAAAAGCCGAAAUUAAUAGUACGGCAUUAUGUAAGCGGGCUUUAAAUUAUUAGUAACUGUGAUGCGAAACAAGCCGACAUUUCCGUGGAUUCUACGCGAAAAUGUGUAAACUCACAAUUGAUUUAUAUAACUUUUGCUAACAUUUGUUGCAAUUUGUUAGCAUUAAAACAGCAUUAUAUUAUAUCAACAUUCUUUUGACUGAAAAAUCACAAUAUAAAAAAAUUAAUGUACGUUUUACACGCAUAAUGGCGAUGCAUUAAGUCCUGAUUUCAAUGCUAUACUUAUAAAUAAGAGUUGUAUACCAAAAGAAUGUGUUACAUAAAUAGAACCAUUUCAUUUCAUCUAAAAAAAAAAA